GGGGUUGCUUCAUUUUUGGAGAAAAAGUAAAAAAGUUCAAAUCUUUUUGAGUAAAAAAAGGGUAUUUCUUGCUUUUUAUGGUCAUUAAUAAUUUCCACAAGAAAGAUAAAUUAGUGGAGUUGAGUUUGUUAGGAUUUUGGUAGACUUUUCACAGGAAAACUGGGAUUGUCACAAGGGGAAAAGUAUCCAAUUUUCAACUGCUUUG
RNAcentral lists this unclassified non-coding RNA (205 nucleotides) under Hevea brasiliensis (rubber tree). Lineage: Eukaryota; Viridiplantae; Streptophyta; Magnoliopsida; Malpighiales; Euphorbiaceae. The record is from RNAcentral.